UGAGGGAAAGUUGAAAAGAACUUUGAAGAGAGAGUUCAAUAGUACGUGAAACUGUUCAGAGGCAAACGGGUGGGCCCUCGAAAUCCUUCUGCGGGGGGAUUCAGUCGGGAGCGUGAGGAGCGGAUCUCGGACGGACCCCUAAGAAAGGCCGACCGGGAAUUCGCCGUUUCUCUCGGCCCCACGCACUCCCUCCUGCACCGAGGACGCCGCGACCGAUCGGGAGUCGGCCUUGGUGCGACUCCGGGAGGUGACCUGGGAUUGGUCCCGCCCAGUCUUAGGUUUUUAACAGAGUCGUUCUCGACGCGGCACCCGAUCGAGGUACGAACGGUCUCCUGCCGACUCCGGCAGCGGAGCAUCGGGCCAGUGUGCACCGUCGCGAUCGAACCACCCUAGUCGUGGCCGGUUCGACGGGAUGCCGUCGGUGGGCUCGAGCGACCGCGGAUGGCAGAAAGAUUGGUCGGGGCGAGUAGGUCGGUCACCCACCCGACCCGUCUUGAAACACGGACCAAGGAGUCUAACAUGUGCGCGAGUCGCAGGGUCUUGCUCAGUCUCUGGGGCGCAAUGAAAGUGAAGGUCGGGACUCCCGCCUCGGCGGGAAGCACCGACGACCCGUCCGUUCCGAUUCGUCGGAGGGGCGGAGUUGGAGCGUACACGUUGGGACCCGAAAGAUGGUGAACUAUGCCUGGGCAGAACGAACCCGGGGAAACUCUAGUGGACGUUCGCAGCGGUUCUCACAUGCAAUC
Molecule: ribosomal RNA, 743 nt
Filed under: Modisimus sp. Cu12-11
Lineage: Eukaryota; Metazoa; Arthropoda; Arachnida; Araneae; Pholcidae
Description: partial 28S ribosomal RNA
Rfam family: Eukaryotic large subunit ribosomal RNA
Source: RNAcentral